Molecule: small nuclear RNA, 149 nt
Filed under: Tuber melanosporum Mel28
Lineage: Eukaryota; Fungi; Ascomycota; Pezizomycetes; Pezizales; Tuberaceae
Description: U1 spliceosomal RNA
Rfam family: U1 spliceosomal RNA
About the family: U1 is a small nuclear RNA (snRNA) component of the spliceosome (involved in pre-mRNA splicing).
Source: RNAcentral
AUACUUACCUGGCGACAGUCUUGAUUGCUCACGGAUAGUUGAGACUCAGGGAUCUCCGACCUCAUUGCACAGCGAGGACGCGAGCCUCUGCCAAAGGUCUUCGGGUCUUCUGGGUUGCUUAAUUUUUGAUUUAUUCCCUGGCGGGUUUC